Molecule: ribosomal RNA, 303 nt
Filed under: uncultured bacterium
Lineage: Bacteria
Description: partial 16S ribosomal RNA
Rfam family: Bacterial small subunit ribosomal RNA
Source: RNAcentral
AGCAGUAGCCGCGGUAAUACGAAGGGGGCUAGCGUUGCUCGGAAUGACUGGGCGUAAAGGGCGCGUAGGCGGAUUGUUUAGUUAGGCGUGAAAUUCCUGGGCUUAACCUGGGGACUGCGCUUAAUACAGGCAGUCUAGAGUGAGGAAGAGGGUUGUGGAAUUCCCAGUGUAGAGGUGAAAUUCGUAGAUAUUGGGAAGAACACCGGUGGCGAAGGCGGCAACCUGGUCCUUGAUUGACGCUGAGGCGCGAAAGCGUGGGGAGCAAACAGGAUUAGAUACCCGAGUAGUCCCUGUCUCUUAUAC